AUGAAACACUCCUACGGGAGGCAGCAGUGGGGAAUCUUGCACAAUGGGCGAAAGCCUGAUGCAGCGACGCCGCGUGCGGGACGAAGGCCUUCGGGUCGUAAACCGCUUUCAGCAGGGACGAGGCCGCGAGGCGACGGUACCUGCAGAAGAAGCCCCGGCUAACUACGUGCCAGCAGCCGCGGUAAUACGUAGGGGGCGAGCGUUAUCCGGAUUCAUUGGGCGUAAAGCGCGCGCAGGCGGCCUGCUCGGUCGGGAGUCAAAUCCGGGGGCUCAACCCCCGCCCGCUCCCGAUACCGGCGGGCUUGAGUCUGGUAGGGGAAGGCGGAAUUCCCAGUGUAGCGGUGGAAUGCGCAGAUAUUGGGAAGAACACCGGUGGCGAAGGCGGCCUUCUGGGCCACGACUGACGCUGAGGCGCGAAAGCUAGGGGAGCGAACAGGAUUAGAAACCCGUGUGGUCCGAAGUUC
RNAcentral lists this ribosomal RNA (464 nucleotides) under uncultured bacterium. RNAcentral describes it as "bacterial SSU rRNA". It matches the Rfam family "Bacterial small subunit ribosomal RNA", at positions 328 to 802 of the family's 1533-position model. The record is from RNAcentral.